RNAcentral lists this microRNA precursor (148 nucleotides) under Podarcis lilfordi (Lilford's wall lizard). The record is from RNAcentral. Lineage: Eukaryota; Metazoa; Chordata; Lepidosauria; Squamata; Lacertidae.
AAGAGCCGCUGAGUGGGGAGGAGAGAGGGACAGAGAGCCUGCUUCUUUAAAGGAGCAAAGUGGGAGAGGAGAGGAGCCGCUUACACGGUUGGUUCCUUUAAAGCAAGCAGGCUCUCUGUCCUCUCUCCUCCCCACUCAGCUCGCUACA